GAGACAGCAGCAGCCACGGUAAUACGAAGGGUGCAAGCGUUAAUCGGAAUUACUGGGCGUAAAGCGUGCGUAGGCGGUGAGUUAAGUCUGCUGUGAAAUCCCCGGGCUCAACCUGGGAAUGGCAGUGGAUACUGGCUCGCUAGAGUGUGUCAGAGGAUGGUGGAAUUCCCGGUGUAGCGGUGAAAUGCGUAGAGAUCGGGAGGAACAUCAGUGGCGAAGGCGGCCAUCUGGGACAACACUGACGCUGAGGCUCGAAAGCGUGGGGAGCAAACAGGAUUAGAUACCCCAGUAGUCCCUGUCUCUUAUAC
Molecule: ribosomal RNA, 308 nt
Filed under: uncultured bacterium
Lineage: Bacteria
Description: partial 16S ribosomal RNA
Rfam family: Bacterial small subunit ribosomal RNA
Source: RNAcentral